CUGCAGGGACAUUUGGGUGGGAGUAUCAGAGGGACUGUGGCUCCAACCCUGACCCAUGCUUCCCUCUACACAACACAUGCAUCCUAUGGAUCCUUUGACCCGAUGGCACCAAGCCUCUGCUACCCAGCCCCUUUGGCCCCCUCCAAUCCCAGGGGCCUAUUCCCAGCUCUCCCCAGAAUAGCUUCCCAUGCAUAUUUAUUUAUCUUAUUAUUUUUUUAGAUGGAUUCUCACUCUGUUGCCCAGGCUGGAGUGCAGUGGUGCGAUCUCGGCUCACUGUAACCUCCGCCUCCCCGGUUCAAGUGAUUCUCCUGUCUUAGCCUCCCGAGUAGCUGGGAUUACAGGCGUGCGCCACAACGCCCAGCUAAUUUUUUUGUAGUUUUAGUAGAGACGGGGUUUCACCAUGUUGGCCAGGCUGGUCUCAAACUACUGACCUCAAAUGAUCUGCCCGCCUCGGCCUCCCAAAGUGCGGGGAUUAUGGGCGUGAGCCACCAUGCCCAGCCCCCAUGCAUAUUUAAACCCUGAGCUUUCUGAGGGCAGGGCUACACCAACCUCUGUUCUAAACACUUUUCCUGUACAGAUUUAUCUAAUCAUCCCAGUAAUGUCAUGAGAUAAGUACUAUCAUUAUUCUCAUUUCACAGAAGAGGAAACUGAGGCCUAGAGAGGUUAAGUAAUUUGUCCACAGUCACACAGCUUGUAAAUAGCAGAGCUUGGGCACAAACACAGGUGAUCUGGCAGCAGGGUCCGUUCUUACCCAGGCUGUGCUGCCUCUCCCUGGGGAGCAUCCUCUAAGAGAUGAGUACCCUAAGAUGCAGGGGGUCAAAUUCCCUUCCAUAGCCACGUGAACCUCUGUCCCAGUCCAAAGAUCUCACUUUACCCUCGCCUUACAUUAGGGGGCAUCAGGCCAGUCACCCCCUCCCUUGUUCUUAAGACUGAGAGCUAGGACUCUGGAGUCCUGGCUAGCUCCCUCAGCCCCCUCAGUGGGACCCAGGCAGAAAGGAGAUUUGAGGUCUCCUAAGACCUGAGGCCAGGCUGCUGGAAGGUGCUGGACCAAAGUGCUCUUCUCAGCUCAUAAUCUCCUGUCCCCACAACCCCUUUCCUGCCAGUCACUCCAUCUCUCCUGCCCUCCUCUCACCAGAUAUGCCUCUUUAGACAGGCUCUCUCCCCUGCUCAAAAACUCUCCGUGACUCCGUCCUAUCAACUACUUUAGCAUGGCAAUGAAGGCUCUUUUACACCCUGACUCUUCCAGCCAGCUGGGCUGGUAUCCUGUCCCCAGCCCUCCACACAUGGAAACUCCCUGUAGCUCUAGGUACAUUCUUCUGCAGCCCACAGUGCCUCCUCCCUCCCCUGUCUAUUCUUCAAGGCCCAACUGAAGUCCCCACUCCUCUAGGAAACUUUCCAUGACCCCUGCUCUGAGCCUGUGCAGGUCCCUCCCUGUCCUGGCUACGGGGUGGGGCUGUCCCAUUCUGCCCUCCCUCUCAGGUUGUGCUGUCCAAUAUGGUAGCCACUAGUCAUAUGUGGCUAUUUAAAUCCAAGUUAACAAAAAAUAAAAAAUAAGGUCAGGUGCUGUGGCUCAUGCCUGUAAUCCCAGCACUUUGGGAGGCCGAGGCAGGCGGAUCACCUGAGGUCGGGAGUUCGAGACCAGCCUAACAUGGAGAAACCCCAUCUCUCCUAAAAAUACAAAAUUAGCUGGGCAAGGUGGUGCAUGCCUGUAAUCGCAACUACUCAGGAGGCUGAGGCAGGAGAAUCACUUGAACCCGGGAGACGAAGGCUGUAGCGAGCCAAGAUCGCGCCAUUGCACUCCAGCCUGGGCAACAAGAGCGAAAGUCUGUCUCAAAAAAAAAAAAAAAAGUUAAGUAUCGGUUCCUCAUGCACCAACCUCAUUUCAAGUGCCCAGUACCUACGUAUCACUAGUCUCAGAUACUAAAGUUAUAAAAUGUUACCAUCAUGCAGAAGUUCUAUUAGACAGCACUAUUCUGGAGUCUUCUAAUUGCCUCACAAACCAUGGUCUCAUCUCCCUACAAGACACAGGGCCUCUUAAGAAUGGGGAUUUGCUGCUGUCUUUCUCCACCUUCCUUCAGAGGCAGGCCACACAAAGGCCUGGGCGGCCUGAGAUGCAUAACAAAUUCACUCAAUAAGCCCAUGGGUUCCAUACACAAACUAAAAUUUGCAAAGCAGCUCUGUGUAACCACAGACAUUCACAGUAACUGUCAUGCUGCAAGGAGUGGUUCUCUUUCUUCCUCUGUGGGGGCCUCAAAGUAACCCUCCAGUUCAACCCCAUGACUCCCAUCCCAGCCACUCCCAGCUGGCUCCCCGAAGACAAGCUGCCAUCAAUCCCUUCCUCACCCCGCCAGCCCAUUUUACGUAGGGGCAAACCAAGGCCCACCACAGACUUCAGCCUGACCCUAUUUUGUGUUGGAGGCUACUGUGGAAAAAACCAGAACCCUGGGAGCAGGAGGAAGUGUGGGGGUGAGGCUUUCACCUUAUAAGCUGGGUGCAGGGGGCCCACACACAACUUAACCUUUCAGUGACCCAGGACAGGACCUCUAAAAGAAUCAGGCCUGGGAGACCUUGCCCUGCCCCCAGAAGCACCAAGAGGCACAGGAAUCUGCUGCCAGCCCAAGGGUCAGAGCCCGACAGCACACACAGCAUGAGUGGGCAGGCGCAGGGGCACCUGGCACAAAGCUGCGCACGCACAUGGGAAUACCUUGCCACCUGAGCCCCGAGCCCGCCUCAGGUAUGCUGGCGGGCACAGCCAGAGGUGCAAAGGCACUUGACCCAACCCCCUCACAGGGAAGGCUGGACCUCCUGGAGGCCCCAGACAAUGGCAAGAGGCCUGGCACGAUGGCGAGGUGGCCAGGACACUCUGGGAACAUCAGGCCCACUGACCUCCCCUGGAACAAUUGGCCCUCAAAUUCUUGCCUGCUGGUUGCCCCAAGCCCACCCUCAGGAGGACAGGGCCCCCCAGGUGCUCUUCAGAGUCCAGGCUGAUCCCUCCAUCCAGUGCCCAGGACAUCUGAAAGGCCCUGCUGGCCCCACACAUCUCACACCACAGGCUUACUGCAUGGCUGCUUCUCCACGACCAAACCCACCAGGAGCUGGUUCAGGGAGGAUUCAGGGGUUGGAGUGAGAGCAGGAAGAGGAAGGAGGCUGGCCAGGGGGUGCCAGCCAGGGAGGAGUCCGGGGGGCUGCACUGGUCUGGCCUGCUCUCCCUCAGGGCCAACUCCUGCUACAGACAGCGCCUGGGAGAACAGUGGGAGCUGCUGCCGCUUCAAGCCUGGGAAACUGGAAGGAAGAUGGGAAAUACCUGCCUGCCGUCCCCUUCACGACCCCACCCCAGUUCACCGAAUGAGCAAAUCAGCAGUGCAUGGCCUGGACUGCGUACACUGGAGCAUGCAGGAGCAGAGCAGAGUGGAACGUGGCCUGGGCUAGAAGCUCUGGAGGCCCCAGGCCACCAGGGAGACUGGGACUAGGUGGGGCCCAGGGAGGACCUUCACACCCCCAGCCCUGCCUGUCGGGCCUCAGGCCUUUGGUGAUCUGCCCGGGGCCUAUGAGGACAAAAGCAUGAAGAAUCAGGAGCCGCCAUUCCCACCCUCCACCACCUGGGCCCCCACUCCUCAGCUUUGCCGCUGCUUCCUCUGACUCCCCUCCCGGCCUGGAGCAGCGAACCCUGAGCCCCUACAUUCCUGCCCCAGGAAAGCCUCAUGUCCCUCUGGAGACUGACUGGCCAGGCCAGCUGCCAUUUUUGAUGCCAGACUAGACUGGGCAGACGGGUGAGGCUUGGGGACUCUGGGCUGUAUAAAAGUUAAUAAAUAAUAAUAAUAAAA
Molecule: long non-coding RNA, 3824 nt
Filed under: Homo sapiens (human)
Lineage: Eukaryota; Metazoa; Chordata; Mammalia; Primates; Hominidae
Description: HSALNT0167469
Source: RNAcentral